This 440-nucleotide ribosomal RNA is filed under the name uncultured bacterium. RNAcentral describes it as "partial 16S ribosomal RNA". It matches the Rfam family "Bacterial small subunit ribosomal RNA", at positions 338 to 795 of the family's 1533-position model. The record is from RNAcentral.
CCUACGGGUGGCAGCAGUGAGGAAUAUUGCACAAUGGGGGAAACCCUGAUGCAGCCACGCCGCGUGAGUGAAGACGUCACUCUUUACUGUAAGCUCUAUCAGCAUGGAAAUAAAUGACUGUACCUGAGUGAGAAUCUACGGAUAACUACGGGACGGAAGCGGCGGGAAUACGUAGGGUGCAAGCGUGAUCCGGAUUUACUGGGUGUAAAGGGAGCGUAUACGGUUUGCCAAGUGUGGAGUUAAAUGCCGCAGCUCAACUGCGGAACUGCUGUGGAAACUGGCGGACUAGAGUGCGGAAGGGGUAAGCGGAAUUCGUGGUGUAGCGGUGAAAUGCGUAGAUAUGAGGAGGAACACCGGUGGCGAAGGCGGCUUACUGGACCGUAACUGACGCUGAGGCUCGAAAGCGUGGGGAGCAAACAGGAUUAGAUACCCCGGUAGUC